RNAcentral lists this long non-coding RNA (741 nucleotides) under Numida meleagris (helmeted guineafowl). Its description in RNAcentral is "lncRNA (ENSNMEG00000007062.1)". Lineage: Eukaryota; Metazoa; Chordata; Aves; Galliformes; Numididae. The record is from RNAcentral.
UGUCUGCCUGAUCUGUAUGUACAAUUCCAUACCAGCUGUGUACACCAUCUUUUCACUGCCAGUGAUCAAUGGAUGUAGAAGGGAUGGCACUGCUCUGUGGUGAACCUGGACCUGUGACUUUGCUCCAUCAGGGAUGGGUAGCACCAUGGAAACCCCAAGUGGCAAAGCCAAAACACAAGCUCCUACCUUCUGUUUACUCAAAGGCCAAUGUGGCCCACAGGCAGACCAAAAGGCCCAACUUUUGACCCUUCUCUCCACCAACACAUUGUUUAUCUUGUAGUAACAUCUGCCUCAGUUUCCUCAUCCAGAAGAGGGAGUGAUAACAAGCAUUGACAGAGGCAAUGAGGAUGCACAAUGCACAGGAAGGUGUGUAAAGCACAUAGAAAGGGUUCCUCCUGCACUGUCUUGGUGGACACAGAACUACCUGCCUCUGUAUCAGCACUUUUUCAGCAGCCAACAGACUCAAGGCAUAACAAAAUCCUGGUGUGGGGACAGAAGGAGGAAGCUGAGCAUAAAGCGGAAGCCUACCAUUUCUAUACAGGCAACUUCAGUACGUAUCUGUGGAAAGCAACAACUAUCCUCCAGCAGAUGUUAGUAACAGGGGUCUGACAACUCCGACUGCAGAUCGCAAAUUAAAUUUUUUGUACAGACCCUCCACGAAGCUGCUUCUGCUCCUCAGUGAAAAGAGAAUACUAAGGAAGUACCGAGCACUGCAGACAGUUUUUCAGAGUUGAAGGGGUG